UACAGAGGUGGCAAGCGUUGUUCGGAAUUACUGGGCGUAAAGGGCGCGUAGGCGGCCUACUAAGUCAGACGUGAAAUCCCCCGGCUUAACCUGGGAACUGCGUCUGAUACUGGGUGACUUGAGUUCGGGAGAGGAAUGUGGAAUUCCAGGUGUAGCGGUGAAAUGCGUAGAUAUCUGGAGGAACACCGGUGGCGAAGGCGGCAUUCUGGACCGAAACUGACGCUGAGGCGCGAAAGCCAGGGGAGCAAACGGG
Molecule: ribosomal RNA, 253 nt
Filed under: uncultured bacterium
Lineage: Bacteria
Description: partial 16S ribosomal RNA
Rfam family: Bacterial small subunit ribosomal RNA
Source: RNAcentral